RNAcentral lists this long non-coding RNA (1062 nucleotides) under Mytilus galloprovincialis (Mediterranean mussel). The record is from RNAcentral. Lineage: Eukaryota; Metazoa; Mollusca; Bivalvia; Mytilida; Mytilidae.
GGGGUCCAAAAUUAAACUUUGUUUGAUUUCAUCAAAAAUUGAAUAAUUGGGGUUCUUUGAUAUGCCAAAUCUAACUGUGUAUGUAGAUUCUUAAUUUUUGGUCCCGUUUUAAAAAUUGGUUUACAUUAACGUCCAAAGGGUCCAAAAUUAAACUAAGUUUGAUUUUAACAAAAAUUGAAUUAUUGGGCCUCUGUGAUAUGCUGAAUCUAAACAGUACUUAGAUUUUUGAUUAUGGGCCCAGUUUUCAAGUUGGUCCAAAUCAGGAUCCAAAAUUAUUAUAUUAAGUAUUGUGCAAUAGCAAGAAAUUUUCAAAUUGCACAGUAUUCAGCAAUAGCAAGAAAUCUUCAAUUGCACAGUAUUGUGCAAUAGCAAGAAAUCUUCAAUUGCACAGUAUUGUGCAAUAGCAAAUAUUUUCAAUUGCACAGUAUUCCACAAUAGCAAGAAAUAUCUAAUUGCACAAUAUUGUGCAAUAGCAAGAAAUUCCAAUUGCAUUUCAAUUGGAGUUAUCUUUCUUUGUCCAGAAUAGUAGUUGAAUCAACUUAAAUCAUUGUUUUAUACAAUAUACAAUGUAUAUUCACUUUUACUACCAACUGAUAGAUUAAAAAACAAUCUUUACCAUUCAGUGAUAACAAGCACUUUUUUUACAUUUUAAUAUUUUAUGAUGUAUUUAAAUGAGUAGUUAUUGUUGCAAACUUCAUUAGAAAUUUGAAUUGAGAUCAGUUUUGAAAUAAGGGAAAGGGGGAUGUGAAAAAAAAAUUGGAGGGUCAAUUUUUUUCAUUUCAGAUUUCAUAAAUAAAAAGAAAAUUUCUUCAAACAUUUUUUUGAGAGGAUUAAUAUUCAACAGCAUAGUGAAUUGCUCAAAGGCAAACAUUUUUUUUUAAGUUCAUUAGACCACAUUCAUUCUGUGUCAGAAACCUAUGCUGUGUCAACUAUUUAAUCACAAUCCAAAUUUAGAGCUGAAUCCAGCUUGAAUGUUGUGUCCAUACUUGCCCCAACCGUUCAGGGUUCAACCUCUGCGGUCGUAUAAAGCUGCGCCCUGCGGAGCAUCUAGUUUUAAAUUGU